This 707-nucleotide long non-coding RNA is filed under the name Homo sapiens (human). RNAcentral's name for it is "HSALNT0323079". The record is from RNAcentral. Lineage: Eukaryota; Metazoa; Chordata; Mammalia; Primates; Hominidae.
ACGAAAGUGAGUGCAAAGCAAGUAGAAUCACAGGAAUGGUCUUUUCAGUAGGUUUUGAGGAUUUCUGAAGUCCGAGACAUAAAGGGAAUGUGCAGGAAGGAAAGGAGAUGGUCAUAAACGAAGUAAAGGAAAUUGAAAUAAGAGGGCUGUGUUUUUUAGUAAUGGCAAAUUAGGGUAGUUGAGACAGGUGGAAGACAAAAUCUUUUUUUUUUUCCUUUUUUUGGAGACGGAGUCUCAUUUUGUCAUCCAAGCUGGAGUGCAGAGGCGUGAUCUAGGCUCACUGCAACCUCUCGGAUUCAAGGGAUUUUCCUGUCUCAGCCUCUCAGAAGAGAACAUCUUCAUAGGAGAGGAGCUCUAGGAACUGAGAAUGCAGGAAAUUGGAAGAAAUAUACAUUAAUAGCCAAGAAUUUAGACAGGACUGGGGAGCCAGGAACAAACAUUUGAGAUGUUGGGCUUUUAAUGGAGUUGCCACGGAUGACAGCAUCAUGAGAAAUGAGGUUUAAAAAUGGAGGAUUGUUCGAGGAGGGAGGAGGGCUGAUCUGAAAGCCACAAGGAGGACAAAUGGAACACCUACCCCCACUACAGGCUGGAAGCUAUCUCCUCUGCAGAACUCUGUGCUAAUGAUAGAAUUUGCAUACUAAUGAUAAUUGCAACCAAGAAAGCUGUAUUCUCUUUCUACUCGAGAUAGAGAGUCUCACUAUGCUGGC